GGACUGGUGGGGGAACGGAUUUGACAAGGGGUUCAAGUAUGUUCAACCUUGUAGUACAUGAUUUGCUGACCUUUUUGUUCAUUUAGCUUCGGUUUUUCUUUGUGAUUCUUUACCUUGUUUUGGUUUCAUACACUGAUUUUAUCUAGGCUAAGGCUAAUUACAACUUUAUAAGCAUAAUGAAUAUUUCAAGGCUAAAUUAGAAGGAUGUUUUGGACAC
RNAcentral lists this long non-coding RNA (217 nucleotides) under Elaeis guineensis (African oil palm). Its description in RNAcentral is "long non-coding RNA (EGUI_LNC002923)". The record is from RNAcentral. Lineage: Eukaryota; Viridiplantae; Streptophyta; Magnoliopsida; Arecales; Arecaceae.